GGAGUGCUCGGCUAUGAUUUGUCUCUCUUUUGACUGCCAAGAAAUGGUUAAUGCUAGCUUAUCUGGCUAGUUGGACAGGUGUCCUCUUCCUCCUUAUGGUCCAUGGACAUUGUCACUGGAGAUGCAUAUUCAGUGGAAGGCUACAACUUUCCUAUCAGAGGAUAUUUCACUGGUUAAGAGGGUACAAAUAGGUCAGGUAUGGCAGCUCACAUGUGUAAUCUCAGCACUUUGGGAGGCCAAGGCAGAAGGAUUGCUUGAGCCCAGGUGUUUGCGAACAGCCUGGGCAAUAUAGCAAGCAAGAUCUUAUUU
This 309-nucleotide small RNA is filed under the name Carlito syrichta (Philippine tarsier). RNAcentral describes it as "7SK RNA (ENSTSYG00000027402.1)". The record is from RNAcentral. Lineage: Eukaryota; Metazoa; Chordata; Mammalia; Primates; Tarsiidae.